GAUGAACGCUGGCGGCGUGCCUAAUACAUGCAAGUCGAACGAACAGACGAUGCGCUUGCUCCUUUCACGUUAGCCGCGGACGGGUGAGUAACACGUGGAUAACCUACUUAUAAGACUGGUAUCACUUGGGGACACCGGAGCUAAUACCGUAUAAUCUAUUGAACCGCAUUGUUGAAUAGUAAAUGACGGUUUUGCUGUAACUUAUCGCUGCAUCCGCGCCGCAUUAGCUAGUUGGUAAGGUAACGGCUUACCAAGGCAACGAUGCGUAGCCGAUCGGCGAGGGGGGUCGGCCACCCGGGAACGGGACCACGGUCAAGACUCCUACGGGAGGCAGCAGAAGGGAACCUGCGGCAAUGGGCGAAAGCCUGACGGAGCAAGCCCGCGUGAGUGAGAAAGGUCUUGGGAUCGUAAGACUCUGUUUUUAGGGAAAAACAGAUGUGGAAGGAAAUAUGCACGUCGUGACGGUACCUAAUCAGAAAGCCACGGCUAACUACGUG
RNAcentral lists this ribosomal RNA (497 nucleotides) under uncultured bacterium. Its description in RNAcentral is "partial 16S ribosomal RNA". It matches the Rfam family "Bacterial small subunit ribosomal RNA", at positions 28 to 507 of the family's 1533-position model. The record is from RNAcentral.